CGGCCUCAACCUGGGAACUGCAUCCAAAACUACUGAGCUAGAAUACGGUUGAGGGUGGUGGAAUUUCCUGUGUAGCGGUGAAAUGCAUAUAUAUAGGAAGCGCUUAACACGCCUCUCCGGCGCUGUGCGAUCCGGCGUGGGGGCCGGUUGGUACUGACACUGACGGUGCAGAAAGUGUGCGGCGGAGCAAAAAGGAUUAUAUACCCUGGUAGUCCUGCGCCAACGUAAACGUUUGUCGAGUAGCCUGGAUUGGUGGUUUGGUUGAUAUCUUUUUUGAUAGCCGCAGCUAAGGGCGAACGAUAAGUCUACCGCCUGUGGAUGAUAGCCAGGACGGUACAUGAUGAAUACUCAAGUCGAAUAGCUCGUCGGGGCCCGUUCAUGCGGUGCCGGGCAUGUGAGUUUAAUUCGCAGGUGGCGCGGUAGCCACCUAUAGCCAAUGGCCUUGAGAUCGCGGUCCCGAACUAUUCCAGAGGUGGAUUGCUGUCCAGCCGUUCAAGGGAACUCAGUCACAGGUGCUGGAUGGCUGUCGUCAGCUCAGUGUCUGUGAGGAUGUUGGCCGUUACCCGCCAGCGUCCGGUCAAGGAGCAGCAAUCCUUGAUCGCUUCGUUACCAGCACCUCGGGUGCGGUGGUCAAGGGCGGCUUGCUGGUGACAAACCGGAGGAUCGGUGGCGGAUGACCGUCAAGAAGAUCGCCAUCGUGGCCGGCUUCCGUCGGCGGCGGCUACGCACGAUGUUACAAUGGUCGGUACAAAGGAAGUUGCCAUGCCGCGAGCGUGAGAGCUACCUACCACCAUCGAAACCCGCUCGUAGUCCGGAUCGCAGUCUGCAACUCGACAUCAGCGUGAAGGUCGGAAUCGGCUAUGUAUUCGUGAAGUCAGCAUGCUCGACGGUGCAUACGUUGCCGGGCAGAUCCUGUACAUGGAGCGCGAUCCUGGCAGCCAUGGAGUGCCGG
RNAcentral lists this ribosomal RNA (952 nucleotides) under Pseudomonas aeruginosa. RNAcentral describes it as "partial 16S ribosomal RNA". It matches the Rfam family "Bacterial small subunit ribosomal RNA", at positions 604 to 1533 of the family's 1533-position model. Lineage: Bacteria; Pseudomonadati; Pseudomonadota; Gammaproteobacteria; Pseudomonadales; Pseudomonadaceae. The record is from RNAcentral.